This is a non-coding RNA of Pelobates cultripes (western spadefoot toad), 321 nucleotides long. The record is from the annotation of a GenBank genome assembly. Lineage: Eukaryota; Metazoa; Chordata; Amphibia; Anura; Pelobatidae.
GACACUCACAUCCACAGAUACACGCACACACACUGACACCCACAGAUACAUCCACACACUGACACUCACAAAUACACACAAACACAAGCACUCACAUCCACAGAGACAUGCACACAUACAAAUAUCUAUCUUCAUGUGGGCCCUGGGUUGGAUACACAGGCAUUGUACCUCUGUAAUGAGGGAUGGUCCUGGGACAUAUUUUUGCUUGGACAGGAGCUCAAAACAUUGUAUUGUCCUGGCCAAUGUGGGGCAGUUGGUAACUAUGCAUCCAAAAUAAAGUUGGCAGACACAGCAUGUAUAGAAUGCCAUGCUCAAACGCAC